Molecule: ribosomal RNA, 694 nt
Filed under: uncultured bacterium
Lineage: Bacteria
Description: bacterial SSU rRNA
Rfam family: Bacterial small subunit ribosomal RNA
Source: RNAcentral
AAGGGAAAGGCUUAGUGGCGGACGGGUGAGUAACGCGUGGGUAACCUGGCCCAUACAGGGGGAUAACACUUAGAAAUAGGUGCUAAUACCGCAUAACAACAGAAAGCGCAUGCUUUUUGUUUGAAAACCAAGGUGGUAUGGGAUGGACCCGCGUCUGAUUAGCUGGUUGGCGGGGUAAAGGCCCACCAAGGCGACGAUCAGUAGCCGGCCUGAGAGGGUGGACGGCCACAUUGGGACUGAGACACGGCCCAAACUCCUACGGGAGGCAGCAGUGGGGAAUAUUGCACAAUGGGGGAAACCCUGAUGCAGCGACGCCGCGUGAGUGAAGAAGUAAUUCGUUAUGUAAAGCUCUAUCAGCGGGGAAGAAAAUGACGGUACCUGAGUAAGAAGCCCCGGCUAACUACGUGCCAGCAGCCGCGGUAAUACGUAGGGGGCAAGCGUUAUCCGGAUUUACUGGGUGUAAAGGGAGCGUAGACGGCAGUGCAAGUCUGGAGUGAAAGGCGGGGGCCCAACCCCCGGACUGCUUUGGAAACUGUGCUGCUGGAGUGCAGGAGAGGCAAGUGGAAUUCCUAGUGUAGCGGUGAAAUGCGUAGAUAUUAGGAGGAACACCAGUGGCGAAGGCGGCUUGCUGGACUGUAACUGACGUUGAGGCUCGAAAGCGUGGGGAGCAAACAGGAUUAGAUACCCUGGUAGU